CAAUAGCGUAUAUUAAAGUUGUUGCGGUUAAAAAGCUCGUAGUUGGAUUUCUGCUGAGAACGACCGGUCCGCCCUUUGGGUGUGUAUCUGGCUCUUUCUUGGCAUCUUCUUGGUGAACGUUGCUGCACUUGACUGUGUGGAGCGCUACCCAGGACUUUUACUUUGAGGAAAUUAGAGUGUUUCGAGCAGGCAUACGCCUUGAAUACAUUAGCAUGGAAUAAUAAGAUAGGACCUCGGUUCUAUUUUGUUGGUUUCUAGAGCUGAGGUAAUGAUUAAUAGGGAUAGUUGGGGGCAUUCGUAUUUAACUGUCAGAGGUGAAAUUCUUGGAUUUGUUAAAGACGGACUACUGCGAAAACAUUUGCCAAGGAUGUUUUCAUUGA
RNAcentral lists this ribosomal RNA (380 nucleotides) under uncultured eukaryote. Its description in RNAcentral is "partial 18S ribosomal RNA". It matches the Rfam family "Eukaryotic small subunit ribosomal RNA", at positions 592 to 976 of the family's 1831-position model. The record is from RNAcentral.